RNAcentral lists this long non-coding RNA (1286 nucleotides) under Equus asinus (donkey). RNAcentral's name for it is "lncRNA (ENSEASG00005025276.1)". The record is from RNAcentral. Lineage: Eukaryota; Metazoa; Chordata; Mammalia; Perissodactyla; Equidae.
UCGGCUGGUGCGAUAGAAGCCUGGGGCCAUGAGGCACCAUCUUUGCCAGCAGGUGGAGAGUGUCCACCUGAGAGUGAAGCCAACAGAAAGCAAACCAGGGCUGAGAGAUGGAGACAGAUCCCGGACAACACUGCCUGAGCCCCUGGAUCCAGCCGUGCCUGAAGCUGUAGCGCUCCUGACUUUCCAGCGACACAAAACAAUACGUUCUGCUUUGGCAUAAGCUAAUUCCAGCGGGAUUCUGUUAUUUGCAGUUGGAUGAGCUCUGCCUGAAGGACGAGGCUUUAAACAACCAGGGCCUGUUGAUUCUCCAGGGGCCCACGGCAAACACAGCCCUUCAGAACACAAAAACACAGCUGCUCUUUGAAAGAGGCGGAGAGAGGGGAAAAUACUUUGCAUUCUCUUGCGAUGAAUCAGGAGCCAAAAUAAGACCUGGUUCAUUUCUCAAGCGGGUUAUCCUGCCCAACCGCUAUUACUCAUCCCAGCCCCGACCAGCCCGAGGUUGGCGUGGCCCUGGCCCAGGGAGCCUGCCGUGCUCAGAGCCUCCCCAGAUUUUCCACGCUCGUGUGAAAAGCGUGUGCGUCGUGGCUCCUUCUCCUCCGGCUCAUCCUCCUGGGAGCUGGGCUGUCUGGAGCUCCAGGGUCCAGCCAAGUCAACCCCUAACAAAACGCAGGGAUGCACAGGGAGCCUCUGGAAACCUCGCCCCUGCAGAGAGGUCCAGAGAAGCUGGCCUGGCCGCUUCUUACUGAGCAGCGGGCUAGCACAGGACCUCAGCAUCAAGGAGGGGUCAGCCGGGGAUAGAUGAGGAAAGGCUUCAAAGGUUGGGCCGAGGAGCUACAAGGAAAUUACAAUGACACUCAUGACUCACAUAAAUUAUCUUUCUGCUGGGGGAGACUGGCGUCAAGGAAGUGCCCGCUGUGAACAUUCUCAGAAGGUUACCCAGACGCGUGCGUUCUCCUUGUGCUUCUAAAAUUGCUCCUGUCCCGUCAGUGGCCGGCCCGGCGGGGAUGCGCCAGGCAGGGCGUAAUUGCUGCCCUCUGCUCACCUCCGGAGGCACACGCUGUUCCCAUUUUUCUUGCGAUCAGUACCUCUGAGACACACACUUUCGAACUAGCGCUGGAGAUAUCUGGAAAUAAAGUCAAAUCUUUGUAUAUGAUGAAAAUAUUUUGGAAAAGAAAUAUCCAGUCUUAAAUCAACAGAAAUAAAAUCUAGGUACAUCUUGAAUAAACAAAACAAAAUGUAAUUUUGGAAGGGGUGCCUAGGCUGGGCCAGGCUCCCCAGGGGAUCGG